Non-coding RNA from Xylariaceae sp. FL0594, 109 nucleotides. The record is from the annotation of a GenBank genome assembly. Lineage: Eukaryota; Fungi; Ascomycota; Sordariomycetes; Xylariales; Xylariaceae.
GCGUCGGUAGAGUAGUAGUUAACUCAUUUCCCUCCCAUUGAUUGCUCUGCACACAAAAUUGUGGCGAGUGAGGAAGGAAAGGACCUGGGUGCAAAUCCCGGCCGACGCA